GACGAACGCUGGCGGCGUGCCUAAUACAUGCAAGUUGAGCGAUGAAGAUUGGUGCUUGCACCAAUUUGAAGAGCAGCGAACGGGUGAGUAACGCGUGGGGAAUCUGCCUUUGAGCGGGGGACAACAUUUGGAAACGAAUGCUAAUACCGCAUAACAACUUUAAACAUAAGUUUUAAGUUUGAAAGAUGCAAUUGCAUCACUCAAAGAUGAUCCCUCGUUGUAUUAGCUAGUUGGUGAGGUAAAGGCUCACCAAGGCGAUGAUACAUAGCCGACCUGAGAGGGUGAGCGGCCACAUUGGGACUGAGACACGGCCCAAACUCCUACGGGAGGCAGCCGUAGGGAAUCUUCGGCCAUGGACGAAAGUCUGAACGAGCAACGCCGCGGGAGUGAAGAAGGUUUUCGGGUCGUAAAACUCGGUUGGUAGAGAAGAAAGUUGGUGAGAGUGGAAAGCUCAUCAAGUGACGGUAACUACUCAGAAAGCGACGGCUAACUACGUG
This 497-nucleotide ribosomal RNA is filed under the name uncultured bacterium. Its description in RNAcentral is "partial 16S ribosomal RNA". It matches the Rfam family "Bacterial small subunit ribosomal RNA", at positions 28 to 507 of the family's 1533-position model. The record is from RNAcentral.